Molecule: ribosomal RNA, 301 nt
Filed under: uncultured bacterium
Lineage: Bacteria
Description: partial 16S ribosomal RNA
Rfam family: Bacterial small subunit ribosomal RNA
Source: RNAcentral
CAGCAGCCACGGGAAUACGUAGGGUGCGAGCGUUAAUCGGAAUUACUGGGCGUAAAGCGUGCGCAGGCGGUUUUGUAAGACAGGCGUGAAAUCCCCGGGCUCAACCUGGGAAUGGCGCUUGUGACUGCAAAGCUAGAGUGCGGCAGAGGGGGAUGGAAUUCCGCGUGUAGCAGUGAAAUGCGUAGAUAUGCGGAGGAACACCGAUGGCGAAGGCAAUCCCCUGGGCCUGCACUGACGCUCAUGCACGAAAGCGUGGGGAGCAAACAGGAUUAGAUACCCCCGUAGUCCCUGUCUCUUAUAC